UGAAUAUCAUGUUAGUUUAGUUCGAAUUCAUCGAUUUGCUUGUUUAUUAAAAUCUGAAUUUGGAGCAUAUAGUAGAGAUUUAGAUAAAUUAUGCAUUUUGGAUUUGAAAUUUGACUUAGGAGAAAACUAUCAAUUCUACACCGUCAUUUUUUGAAACUACCAGAUUUAACUCUAGAAGCCGUAGGUUGUUUGUAUCACCGCAGUUUGCGGGCAAUGGAUACUCAGGAUAGUAUAGAAUGUAUUUAUGCUCGUGCUGGGAUGCCGAGUAUAUUGUUACAGUAGAGUGUAGAGUGUUCCGGACUGUUGGGUACCGUUGUGGUUGACAGUGGACCUAGUUUGCUAUUUUUGCAUCGGAUUGUGCCAAGAACACGUAGAUUAUGGUUGUUAGACUAGUUAAACCUUUCUACUUUGAUACAGCCUGUGAGAGCCUGAUUGAGCUUGGUAGAGAUACGCUUGCAUACUCGGUUGGGUAGCGCCCACGAGUGCCACUCCGGAGUCGGGCUUUGUGUUUUUGCGUUGAUGUCGGUUUGUUCUGAGGUUUCAGUGUGAUGAGAUUGCAGUUUCUGUUUGGACGGUUUUUGAGCUAGAUUCAGGCAGGGUGGGUCCGUUUGGGCAGCCUGUGUGAGGUUGGAUCAGUAGUAGUUAGUGACG
RNAcentral lists this long non-coding RNA (651 nucleotides) under Ananas comosus (pineapple). Its description in RNAcentral is "long non-coding RNA (ACOM_LNC017296)". The record is from RNAcentral. Lineage: Eukaryota; Viridiplantae; Streptophyta; Magnoliopsida; Poales; Bromeliaceae.